This 405-nucleotide ribosomal RNA is filed under the name uncultured bacterium. Its description in RNAcentral is "bacterial SSU rRNA". It matches the Rfam family "Bacterial small subunit ribosomal RNA", at positions 355 to 776 of the family's 1533-position model. The record is from RNAcentral.
UGGGGAAUAUUGGGCAAUGGACGAAAGUCUGACCCAGCGAUUCUGCGUGAAGGAUGAAGCCUUUCGGGGUGUAAACUUCUUUUUUGGAGGAAGACGAAUGACGGUACUCCAAGAAUAAGGGACGGCUAACUACGUGCCAGCAGCCGCGGUAAUACGUAGGUCCCGAGCGUUAUCCGGAGUUACUGGGCGUAAAGAGUCUGUAGCUUGUUGUAUAAGUUUACUUUCAAAUACCUCGACUCAAUCGAGGAAAGGGAGUAAAUACUGUACAACUAGAGGUAUUUAGAGGUUAGUGGAAUUCCCAGUGGAGAGGUGAAAUUCGUUGAUAUUGGGAGGAACGCCGAAAGCGAAAGCAGCUAACUAUAAAUAUCCUGACGGUGAGAGACGAAAGUUUGGGUAGCAAACGGG